Dicentrarchus labrax (European seabass) is the source of this 449-nucleotide long non-coding RNA. RefSeq lists it as uncharacterized. The record is from RefSeq and is a predicted model, not a curated record. Lineage: Eukaryota; Metazoa; Chordata; Actinopteri; Moronidae. The transcript has 3 exons.
CCGGCAUCUUGUUAACCUAGCGGUGGAGGAGAAGGAAUGGGAGCUUGAAUUAUUUAGUGCGUGGACUCGGUUUCCCAGAAGUCUCCGCGCGGGUGAGAGAGUUACGUAGAGGUUGGAGGCGGGCCCAAGUGUGAGCUCAUCCACAGCCAGAGAGCAUCUAGUCACUAGUAAAAACAGCUGCACUUUGACUUUGAACGACUUAAUGUGUACGGUUUUAUAUUUAAUUUACUUGUGUUCUGAAAAUAUGAUUUGUUUGAUAACAAACUUCGACGGACAGUUAGCUGUUGGCUAUUAAAGUGAAGAGGCUGCACACAUCCGGGGCUGAAAAAACCUUCCUUGACUGAUCCCACCCUGUAUGAUAAAGAUGGCGAGAGAUGAUGAGAGCAUUUGGUAGUUCAUUCUUGCCCAGUCCUCGUUUGAUUAGAAAUAUUUUGCCGGGAAAGCUAGGA